RNAcentral lists this long non-coding RNA (329 nucleotides) under Brassica rapa (field mustard). RNAcentral's name for it is "long non-coding RNA (BRAP_LNC001438)". The record is from RNAcentral. Lineage: Eukaryota; Viridiplantae; Streptophyta; Magnoliopsida; Brassicales; Brassicaceae.
UUAUGUAGAGUAAAGAUUGUUUUCGGAUUGGUGUAGUUUAUUAAGUACUUAAUUAAAAAUAAGAUAUGUGUAUCAAUAUAAUAAUAUGAUUGAGAUUGAUAAACAAUAUAUAGAUAUAUAUUAUUAUCUUCUAGCUAUUAGGUUGAUCAUUUUCUAAAUCAUAUUAUAUACGUUCUCAGAUUAUAGACAAACAGGAAAAGAAGUGAUCUCGAGGGUUGAGUAGGUAGUAACAUAGAGAUAUAAGCUAAGUGUACCACAAAGGUUCAAUGAAUUUCGAUGAAUGCUGAAUAAAAUUAUUAAUAUUGUUAGGUAGAGUUAUCAAAUGUGAA